RNAcentral lists this ribosomal RNA (673 nucleotides) under uncultured bacterium. RNAcentral's name for it is "bacterial SSU rRNA". It matches the Rfam family "Bacterial small subunit ribosomal RNA", at positions 138 to 807 of the family's 1533-position model. The record is from RNAcentral.
AUGGGACAGCCCGUCGAAAGGCGGAUUAAUACCGUAUGUUGUCAUGUUGAUGCAUAUUUUCAUGACCAAAGGCUUCGGCCGGUAAAGGAUGGGGAUGCGUCUGAUUAGCUUGCCGGCGGGGUAACGGCCCACCGGGGCGACGAUCAGUAGGGGUUCUGAGAGGAAGGUCCCCCACAUUGGAACUGAGACACGGUCCAAACUCCUACGGGAGGCAGCAGUGAGGAAUAUUGGUCAAUGGGCGCGAGCCUGAACCAGCCAAGUAGCGUGCGGGACGACGGCCCUAUGGGUUGUAAACUGCUUUUAUACGGGGAUAAAGUAUGCCACGUGUGGUUUAUUGCAGGUACCGUAUGAAUAAGGACCGGCUAAUUCCGUGCCAGCAGCCGCGGUAAUACGGAAGGUCCGGGCGUUAUCCGGAUUUAUUGGGUUUAAAGGGAGCGUAGGCCGGGUUUUAAGCGUGCCGUGAAAUGUCGGGGCUCAACCUUGACACUGCGGCGCGAACUGGAGUCCUUGAGUGCGCGGAACGUAUGCGGAAUUCGUGGUGUAGCGGUGAAAUGCUUAGAUAUCACGAAGAACCCCGAUUGCGAAGGCAGCAUACGGCAGCGCUACUGACGCUGAAGCUCGAAGGCGCGGGUAUCGAACAGGAUUAGAUACCCUGGUAGUCCGCGCGGUAAAC